GACGAACGCUGGCGGCGUGCUUAACACAUGCAAGUCGAACGGAAAGGCCCCUUUGGGGGUACUCGAGUGGCGAACGGGUGAGUAACACGUGAGUAACCUGCCCUUGACUUCGGGAUAACUUCAGGAAACUGGGGCUAAUACCGGAUAGGAAUCCUUGCUGCAUGGUGGGGGUUGGAAAGCUUCGGCGGUUUUGGAUGGACUCGCGGCUUAUCAGCUUGUUGGUGGGGUAGUGGCUUACCAAGGCUUUGACGGGUAGCCGGCCUGAGAGGGCGACCGGCCACAUUGGGACUGAGAGACGGCCCAGACUCCUACGGGAGGCAGCAGUGGGGAAUAUUGCACAAUGGGCGGAAGCCUGAUGCAGCACCGCCGCGUGCGGGAUGACGGCCUUCGGGUUGUAAACCGCUUUCAGCAGGGGCGAAGCUUGUGGUGACGGUACCUGCAGAAGAAGCACCGGCUAACUACGUG
Molecule: ribosomal RNA, 465 nt
Filed under: uncultured bacterium
Lineage: Bacteria
Description: partial 16S ribosomal RNA
Rfam family: Bacterial small subunit ribosomal RNA
Source: RNAcentral